This 465-nucleotide ribosomal RNA is filed under the name Vreelandella stevensii. Its description in RNAcentral is "partial 16S ribosomal RNA". It matches the Rfam family "Bacterial small subunit ribosomal RNA", at positions 338 to 795 of the family's 1533-position model. Lineage: Bacteria; Pseudomonadati; Pseudomonadota; Gammaproteobacteria; Oceanospirillales; Halomonadaceae. The record is from RNAcentral.
CCUACGGGAGGCAGCAGUGGGGAAUAUUGGACAAUGGGCGAAAGCCUGAUCCAGCCAUGCCGCGUGUGUGAAGAAGGCCUUCGGGUUGUAAAGCACUUUCAGUGGGGAAGAAAGCCUUGGGGCUAAUACCCUCGAGGAAGGACAUCACCCACAGAAGAAGCACCGGCUAACUCCGUGCCAGCAGCCGCGGUAAUACGGAGGGUGCGAGCGUUAAUCGGAAUUACUGGGCGUAAAGCGCGCGUAGGCGGUCUGAUAAGCCGGUUGUGAAAGCCCCGGGCUCAACCUGGGAACGGCAUCCGGAACGGUCAGGCUAGAGUGCAGGAGAGGAAGGUAGAAUUCCCGGUGUAGCGGUGAAAUGCGUAGAGAUCGGGAGGAAUACCAGUGGCGAAGGCGGCCUUCUGGACUGACACUGACGCUGAGGUGCGAAAGCGUGGGUAGCAAACAGGAUUAGAUACCCGGGUAGUC